GGAGGCGUACCCAAGUUUGGCUGAAGGGGACUGACUCGAAAUCAGUUAGGGCGUUUACCGUCGCAGGGGUUCAAAUCCUCUCGCCUCCG
This is a transfer RNA of 89 nucleotides. It matches the Rfam family "tRNA". From Rfam's summary of the family: Transfer RNA (tRNA) molecules are approximately 80 nucleotides in length. Their secondary structure includes four short double-helical elements and three loops (D, anti-codon, and T loops).